RNAcentral lists this non-coding RNA (29 nucleotides) under Homo sapiens (human). Lineage: Eukaryota; Metazoa; Chordata; Mammalia; Primates; Hominidae. The record is from RNAcentral.
UGGACUAUAAUUUGUUGGCAGUCAUGCUC